Molecule: transfer RNA, 57 nt
Filed under: Ovis aries (sheep)
Lineage: Eukaryota; Metazoa; Chordata; Mammalia; Artiodactyla; Bovidae
Rfam family: tRNA
About the family: Transfer RNA (tRNA) molecules are approximately 80 nucleotides in length. Their secondary structure includes four short double-helical elements and three loops (D, anti-codon, and T loops).
Source: Rfam by way of RNAcentral
UAGCUCAGUUGGUAAAGAAUCUGCCUACAAUGCAGGAGACCCGGGUUCAACCCCCGG